GAAAAAAUAUUGGUAGGGAAGACGUGUGUUAAUGGAUUUUAUGGUGCAGAUGAAUCAAAAGGAAAAAUACAGGCUAGAGUAUUACUAGUAGAGAGGAACAAGAAGCUGGUAGUAGUGUAGAAAAUUGGGCCAUCUAAGUAUAGAAAACACAAUGGAGUUGUCCAAGAAAACAUUGGGAAUAAAAAGCCUAGAACAAGGGCAAAAAGGCAGCUUGAAAUUAUACAUUCUGAUAUAUGUGGACCUAGAGAGCCAGUGACAUGUAACAGAAAUAGCAGCAGAAGCAAAGUGGAACAAC
Molecule: long non-coding RNA, 295 nt
Organism: Eufriesea mexicana
Lineage: Eukaryota; Metazoa; Arthropoda; Insecta; Hymenoptera; Apidae
Exons: 3
Source: RefSeq, a predicted model, not a curated record